UGGAAAACUGUUUUUCUUUUCAGAUCUCCUU
This 31-nucleotide non-coding RNA is filed under the name Rattus norvegicus (Norway rat). The record is from RNAcentral. Lineage: Eukaryota; Metazoa; Chordata; Mammalia; Rodentia; Muridae.